CACGUUGCCGUCCUGAACCAAACUGCCAGGAAGGAAGCGGGGAGAAGGAUAUGGGGUGACCACAGGCACAGUCUGCCAUGAAGCUGCCUGGAUUGGGAUUUUUUCCAAGAGCCCUCCUCAGAGAUGCCUGGGGCGGGCUGUAGGGCACCCGACCUGUGGGAGGACGGAGCCAUGCACUGGGCAGGAGAGUGAAGUCAGAUUGCUGCCCCAGUCCCUCAGCUACCUAGCUGGGACCCCUGGGCUAGGUGUAUCAGCAUCAUCCUGCAUAUCCCACCUCUCCGCAUGGACAGCACGGGGCCCCGGUCACACGGGCCUGCUCCUUCCUCUGGGCUGGGCCCAGCUUCCUCCAUGAGGACCUCCCCUCCACUCACCCUUCCCACCCAAAUCCUCAACUCCACUGGGCAGGCACUUCUUACGUUCUCCUGCGGUAUGAGCUCACGCUGUCUUUAACAGUGGUCUUCAAAGCGAGGUGGCCUGAUCAGCAGCAUCAACAUCACCUGGGAAUUCGCCAGCAAUGCACAUUCCCAGCCCUUGGAAUCAGGGACUCAGGGUGGGGGCAGCACUCUGUUUUAACAAGCCCUCCAGGUGAUUCCGAUGCACUCAAGUUGGAGAACCACGGGCACAUCAUGACUCUCAGGCUGUGAAGCAGUUUCUGGCCUGUUAGUGGCAACACAAAGACAGCUGGGAAAGGCAGAAGUAAAAGAAGGGCUUUCCUGGCCCCUCUGCCCUUCGGCACAGACCAGGCGAUAAUCCUGCAAAGAUGGAGACGUUGAGUCUGAGAAGAACUGUGGGAACUCGGAACCACCGAGGGGCUGUCCAAGACUUCCCAGUGUGGAUUUGGGAGCUGAGGUUGAGGCAGGAGAAAGUAUUUGUGAAUAGCAAGAGUGGAACUACAAGGCAAAUUUCCGGAACCCUUGAGCCCUGAGAACAGGACUGUCAGCGCUAAUAGCUCUGUGCACGGCAGGCUGGCCCACCCCAACCCUUUGUUGGGCCCAGGACAAGAGUACCAAUGGAGGCUCACCUCCCAUGUGGCUACAAAUUUAAAAGUUACAAAUCAAGCUAAAAAACUUAAAGAAACUGUGUCCUGUCCUUCUACUUUGACUGAUGAACCUUUAUAAAGAUGUGGUGGACUGGAAUAGGAGAUGCAGAGAGAACAGGCUCCCAUCUCAUAGCUUCCCUGCUUCUCUUCCCAUCCAGGCUCCAUCCCAUACUUUGAGGACCUCAUGCACAGAGGCUGUUCAUCAAGCUCAUUCUACACCUCCUGUGGACAGCACCCUCCUGACCACCUUUUGGAGGCAGGACCUGAAGAAGUCCAAACCUGGAAGCUGGCUCAGGGCUCUUUGGAAUGAGAAGCAUGGUCUAAAAGAUGCGUUAUGGGCUUUGGGCGAACACAGCCCCUUUCCCUGUGACUCUUCCCGCUGUGGGUGGGCUGUGGUCAGAAGAGGGCUUCAGCAGAGGCCUCUGAAGGCUUGUUUCUCAAAAUGUGGUCCCAGGACCAGCUGUGUGGGCCCCACCUGAGUGCUGGUUAGAACUGCAGCCUCACUCCACACCUCCUGAAUCAUGAUCUGUUUCUAACAAGAUCCCUAGGAGAUUCAUGUGCACAUCGAAGUUUAAAAAGCACUGCUCUAAAGCACAAAACCCAGGGCCAGGGUCCCUGUUGCCCCUGUCUAGGGGUACUGACAAUAGAUAUCAAUAAGUGGGUGCUCGACAAAUGCCAGCUAUCGCCUAAAGCAGGCCUGGUAGUUACCAGUUGGGGAUGCUGCCUGGCUCAUGGUGAUUUCAUUUCCUCUUUCUGUGGGGCCUCAGUGGUCUGUUUCCGCUGAUGGCCCUGAUGCUUGCCUGAGCUGAGUGGUCCAGUAGAAGACACCUGGCCCACAUUGGGUCAAUCAGGUGAUUCUCCCAGGAAUUUGACACUUAAGCCCCCCCAACGAGUAGUGAUGGUGACCAUCUUUCCUGCACCUGGGAUGUGCCAAGUGCGGUGCGGAGUGUUUUACAUACAGUAGAAUCCGAUCUGCGCAACCACCUCACCAGGUGCAUACCGUCCCUCUCCUGUUUCAGAUGCAGGGAUGGGGCUCGGAUGCUAGGUAACUCUCCAAAAGCUUGGCAGCCCUGGGAGAGCCGUAUGGCGCACAGACCAUGUGCACUAUUUCUGAGGCCCAGGUCCCCGCCCAGCUUCAUGGGAUAGGGCAGACCCACCCAGUUACAGGGCUGAGGGCUGUGGGAGUGAGACCCAGCUCUGUG
Molecule: long non-coding RNA, 2241 nt
Organism: Mirounga angustirostris (Northern elephant seal)
Lineage: Eukaryota; Metazoa; Chordata; Mammalia; Carnivora; Phocidae
Exons: 3
Source: RefSeq, a predicted model, not a curated record